This 429-nucleotide ribosomal RNA is filed under the name Gemmatimonadota bacterium. RNAcentral describes it as "Gemmatimonadetes bacterium partial 16S ribosomal RNA". It matches the Rfam family "Bacterial small subunit ribosomal RNA", at positions 355 to 776 of the family's 1533-position model. The record is from RNAcentral. Lineage: Bacteria; Pseudomonadati; Gemmatimonadota.
UAGGGAAUCUUCGGCAAUGGACGAAAGUCUGACCGAGCAACGCCGCGUGAGUGAAGAAGGUUUUCGGAUCGUAAAACUCUGUUGUUAGAGAAGAACAAGGACGUUAGUAACUGAACGUCCCCUGACGGUAUCUAACCAGAAAGCCACGGCUAACUACGUGCCAGCAGCCGCGGUAAUACGUAGGUGGCAAGUGUUGUCCGGAUUUAUUGGGCGUAAAGCGAGCGCAGGCGGUUUCUUAAGCCUGAUGUGAAAGCCCCCGGCUCAACCGGGGAGGGUCCUUCGAAACUGGGACCCUUGAGUGCAGAAGAGGCGAGUGGAGUUCCAUGUGUAGCUGUGAUCUUCGUAGCUAUAUGGAGGAACACCAGUGGCUAAGGCGGCUCUCUGGUCUGUAACUGACGCUGAGGCUCGAAAGCGUGUGGAGCAAACAGG